AGAAGGUAGGGCUCUGGUGAGUGAGGUCUCCUCUCCAUGGUCAGACUUCUUGACCCACUGACCAUCUACUUUAUGAAAGCCCAUUCUAAGCAAGGUUUUGUCACUGUAGUAGUUGGUGUGCCUAAGAUAUCUAGAUGGUUCUUCUUCAGAAAUGGGUCCACCGAACUCUCUAAAAAUUAGGGUGAAGACCAUCCGAUAAGGCAAACUUGCCUUAGACUUAGUAGCAGCUUCCCCUAUGUAGGACAUCAUCAUCCUAGGUAAGUUAAGGGAAAUACUCCAAAAUAAAAUCAAAUCUACCACUUUUUGGGAAGAGGAUACUACUUAUUAUGCUUAGGAUAAUUGGUUUGCAUAGACUUCUUUUAAGGGGUUUACUAUGUCCCUACCUAAAAUAAGUCUGAGCGCUCCCUAUCUAUUAGAAUGGGUAGUAGGGGCUUGUCCCUCUCUAGGGAGACCUACUAGGUUGGCCAAAUAUUCUUCUGUUAGGGUUAUUCCAACAUUCCUAACAGUGCCAACUAAUCCGCCCGAACCUCUACCAACUGAACUAAAAAAUUUCCUCAUCAAGCUUGGGUAGGUAUGUUAGAUGU
Molecule: long non-coding RNA, 584 nt
Filed under: Phoenix dactylifera (date palm)
Lineage: Eukaryota; Viridiplantae; Streptophyta; Magnoliopsida; Arecales; Arecaceae
Description: long non-coding RNA (PDAC_LNC010988)
Source: RNAcentral